GCCCAGAGAGGACAAGGAAUUUGGGGAAGGUGAUAGCUUAUAGACCCAUUGCCUGGUUUUAGAAUCCAUGUGUCAGCACCCCAUUUUGUUACAUGAGACUGGUUUGGUUCAAUGUCCUGGUUGGUAUGAGAGGCAACCCAGCCUAGUGGAAAGAGUUUGGCUGUUGAGUUAGACAAAAUCUAGCCCCGCCAUGUACCAGUUGGACCACUAGGCAAUAUGCUUCAACCAUCUUGGCUUUGGGCUCUUCCGUACAAUGGAGUUUUCACUUCUGUCUCAUCUCUAAGAGACUUCAUAUUGCAGAGUUGCAGAACGAGAACUGGGAGACACACAUGUCCCACAUGGUGUCUUCAUUUUUUGCUUUUAAUUGAAUUUGUUGCAGACAUUUAACAAUUUAUAUAAACCCUGAUGUCUAGCUCCUCUUGGCAAGUCAGAAGUCCUGGCAGCACCCGUUAGCAGGAGCAAACAGCUGCCCCUUGGAUGGAAGACAAGCCUCCCAGUGUGGCACAGUCCCCUCCUUUCUCCGUUCAUUUCUUACAGUUGGUCUGCUUUGCUCCUUGACCCACCUACCUGACCUCAGUAAGCAUGUCCAUUUUCAGGGCCUCCUGCGGAGAUGAGGUAUAUCAGGGGGGAACAUUAUUGUAAAUGAUCGAGAAGCUUUCCUUACUUUUAAUUUAAAAUGUUAUUUGCUUCCUUUGUAGAGCCAUGGGAUUGUUUUCUCCAGACAGAUGACUUUUUCCUGUUAGCUUCACACGAGAUUUAGGAGGCACGAGGAUAGUAAGAUGAAAAUGGAGCAAUAUGGGUACAGCAGCAUAGAUGCUGCAACUUCCCGAGUCACCUCUGCCCCAGCAUGAGGCAGAAAGAAGAGGGAGAGGACCUAGAUGGAUGAAGCAGCCACAUAGAAAGAGUGCUACUCAGUUGGGCUUUAUCGUCAAUGAAGACAUAAUAAAAAGAAGAUUUGUAUUUAUCAUAGAGGAGCUUUCUAUCCAAUAUAUAGAAGCCACUAAUGAUGUUCUCUGAGGCUGGAAGAGCACAUUGGCCUGCACAGCCAAUCCCAGAAAUGAUGGGUUCCUGCUGGAAAUGAUGACCCGUGUGCUGCACGCACGACAAGCCUUUGAGACAGAUGAUCUAGGCAUCUUCUGCUCCUGCUGAUGGGCUGCCACUUCUGGGAGCCAGGCUUUGGCCUUCAGUCCCCAGACAGACACUGAAGGGGGAUGCAGAGAGAAAGAGAGAGGAAGAACAAGCUGACCACCCAAAAUUAAUAGGUCUCAUGAAAUGGAGUGCCUACAGGGCACAGGUGUCAAAUUGGGAUGGGAUGGGGAGAGGGAAAGACAGAAGGAGGAAGGAGGAAGGUGGUGUGGAAGGGAGGAAGAAAGAGAAUAUGAGAGUUCAAGGGACAUGGAAGAUUAAUUGGAAGAGCAUACAUACUAAACCCAAAGCAAAUAUCCAAAUGUCACCAUGAGUAAUACAAGGGACUGAGGAAGAAAUUCCCUUGCGUGAGGCCGCACAAAGCUUGGCACUGGAGCUGCUGUGCCACCCCUCACACCUGGCCACUGCCGUCAACUCCCAGGGGGAGCAUUCUGGUCACCUGAGCUCCUGACUCAGAGUCUAACAAAGGCUCUUAGCUUUCACACCAUCCUGUAUUUGGGAGAUUGCCAUUUCUUUCCUUCAUUGCCCAGGAUGAGCAAGCUGCUGGCAUUUCUAUGUCAGCCACAGAAGCUGUGAUGAGGAGAGCAAGGAAAUGCAUGGAAAAGGACAGGUGAUUCCUGCACAGCUCCCUCCGGAGAUCUGCAGGCAGCAUUUCCCCCAGGAAUGUUCCUCUCUAGAACUCCAUCAUGUGAGCAUCACUUGCCUGUCCACUGGGUCAUGAGCCUUUCUUCUGCAGGCUUAGGUAAGUCUACAAGACCCCCAGACAGACCUUCUGUCCCCUCAAUGGAACCCGCCAUGGUUUGUGUGUGUUGUGAGCAACCUUGU
This 1971-nucleotide long non-coding RNA is filed under the name Vulpes vulpes (red fox). RNAcentral's name for it is "lncRNA (ENSVVUG00000010342.1)". Lineage: Eukaryota; Metazoa; Chordata; Mammalia; Carnivora; Canidae. The record is from RNAcentral.